Long non-coding RNA from Chiroxiphia lanceolata (lance-tailed manakin), 183 nucleotides. RefSeq lists it as uncharacterized. The transcript is spliced from 3 exons. NCBI's taxonomy places the organism in Eukaryota, Metazoa, Chordata, Aves, Passeriformes, Pipridae. The record is from RefSeq and is a predicted model, not a curated record.
GGCGGCGGGGACCGGGCUGGCUCGUGGUUUCCCCUGGUGCGGAGGCGAGUUGUGCUUCCUGCGGGGAGAGAGAAGGGCCUCGGGAAGCUGCUCCAUGACCCCCAGCUGUGCCGAGCCCGGGAGUCUGUCCAGGUUUCCUUGCUCUCUCAGCAGGAUGUCGAGUGCCACCAUGUCCCUGAGGUC